GCAAAUCUGACAUGGAUAAAAUUGUUUAUCAGGUCAAGAUCUAUCUGCCCUGAAAUUUUCAGAUGAAUCAGACAACCCGUUGUUGGGUUGCUGCCCCUGAAUAUGUAAUUUUAAGGAAAUUUUGCUGUUUUUGGUUAUUAUCUUGAAUAUUAUUAUAGAUAAAGAUAAACUGUAAACAGCAAUAAUGUUCAGCAAAGUAAGAUUUACAAAUAAGUCAACAUGAAUGAAAUGGUCAGUUGACCCCUUUAGGAGUUAUUGCCCUUUGUAGUCAAUUUUUAACCAUUUUUCGUAAAUCUUAGUAAUCUAUUACAAAAAUCUUCUCCUCUGAAACUACAUGGCCAAAUUAAUCCAAACUUGGCCACAAUCAUCUUUGGGGUAUCUAGUUUAAAAAAUGUGUGGUGUGACCCGGCCAACCAACCAAGAUGGCCGCCAUGGCUAAAAAUAGAACAUAGGGG
RNAcentral lists this long non-coding RNA (455 nucleotides) under Mytilus galloprovincialis (Mediterranean mussel). The record is from RNAcentral. Lineage: Eukaryota; Metazoa; Mollusca; Bivalvia; Mytilida; Mytilidae.